This 253-nucleotide ribosomal RNA is filed under the name uncultured bacterium. Its description in RNAcentral is "partial 16S ribosomal RNA". It matches the Rfam family "Bacterial small subunit ribosomal RNA", at positions 524 to 776 of the family's 1533-position model. The record is from RNAcentral.
UACGUAGGGGGCAAGCGUUGUCCGGAUUUAUUGGGCGUAAAGAGCGUGUAGGCGGUUUGGUAGGUCCGUUGUGAAAACUCGAGGCUCAACCUCGAGACGCCGAUGGAAACCAUCAGACUAGAGUCCGGAAGAGGAGAGUGGAAUUCCGGGUGUAGCGGUGGAAUGCGUAGAGAUCCGGAAGAACACCGGUGGCGAAGGCGGUGAGCUGGGCAGUUGCUGACACUGAGGCGCGACAGCGUGGGGAGCAAACAGG